RNAcentral lists this ribosomal RNA (253 nucleotides) under uncultured bacterium. RNAcentral's name for it is "partial 16S ribosomal RNA". It matches the Rfam family "Bacterial small subunit ribosomal RNA", at positions 524 to 776 of the family's 1533-position model. The record is from RNAcentral.
UACAGAGGGUGCGAGCGUUAAUCGGAAUUACUGGGCGUAAAGCGCGCGUAGGCGGCUUUUCAAGUCGAUUGUGAAAUCCCCGGGCUUAACCUGGGAACUGCAGUCGAGACUGUCUAGCUAGAGUAUGGGAGAGGGAAGUGGAAUUUCAGGUGUAGCGGUGAAAUGCGUAGAUAUCUGAAGGAACAUCAGUGGCGAAAGCGACUUCCUGGACCAAUACUGACGCUCAUGUGCGAAAGCGUGGGGAGCAAACGGG